GGGACACCCAGAGGGCUGGGGAGGCUCCACUGGUGUCGGGAUUAAGGAGCAGCAGCUGCCCCUCCCAAACACUGUCACCGCAGGAGGACUUUGCCAUGAGACGAGUGCAGGACGGAGCACAGGAAGGCGCUGACUCCAGGCCUGGCAGAGGCGCUGCUGCCACCACCGAAGCCCCCCGCAACCCUGCCUCGGCCCACAGCUGGACCUUGGGCGGGAAGUUCAGCCCCCGGGGUGGGAAGCUAAGAUAAGAUCAAGGUAGGACAAUUGUCCGGGGGUUAUCCCAGACCUCGGUGGAGGUAAACAAAGCUGCGGGAGCAGAAUGGAUCCCUGGUGGUGGGCAAGGAAAGCCAACCCAGCACUCGUGCUGGAAUCAUCUCCAGCUGGGUCAAAGGGAAUUCCAGAGGGGCAGGUGGCGACCACCAACUCCCGGCCACCGGCCCCAGAAACCUCCGGCUGAAGAGAAGAGACAGCCUGAGCUGGGACUAAUUAGCACCCGAGGCCAUUGUUUAACCAAUGGCAUUAAAGAGCUGUGUAGCCCAUGAGCACUCAUUCCUCAGUUUGCCGAAAUGGAUAAACAGGGAGAAGUUCAGAAUGACCUCAGGACCCCCCAGUACCGAGAAGCGCCGGGGGAAGAAGGACCAACAAUGCCUCUGGAUCCACGGGUGGUGCUGACCUUGUGACUGAUCUCUCUCCCUCCCUUCUCCCUCUCUGCCCACCCUUCCUCCUUUCUCUCCCUCACAUUUUAUUUUUCGGUAAAUUCCAUACUAUUGACUUUGGCA
Long non-coding RNA from Corvus hawaiiensis (hawaiian crow), 779 nucleotides. RefSeq lists it as uncharacterized. Lineage: Eukaryota; Metazoa; Chordata; Aves; Passeriformes; Corvidae. The record is from RefSeq and is a predicted model, not a curated record. The transcript has 2 exons.